AGCAGCUCAACGGCUCACACAGUCAAAACACCUCGGAGCCUGGGCAGGAGCUGAGAAAACAGCUCAGUGAGAACACUGAGUGUCAACUGACAUCCAGAAGGUGACAGGUAAUCACAGAAUCACAGGGCCUACGUCUGGGGGAUGAGCUGAAAAGUCACCCAGGAAUGCUCCUUCAGCUAGCACUGAAACUGAUCUCC
Pipistrellus kuhlii (Kuhl's pipistrelle) is the source of this 197-nucleotide long non-coding RNA. RefSeq lists it as uncharacterized. The record is from RefSeq and is a predicted model, not a curated record. NCBI's taxonomy places the organism in Eukaryota, Metazoa, Chordata, Mammalia, Chiroptera, Vespertilionidae. The transcript has 3 exons.